CGGAGGUGGCAAGCGUUGUUCGGAAUUACUGGGCGUAAAGGGCGCGUAGGCGGCAAGGCAAGUCAGGUGUGAAAGCCCCGGGCUUAACCCGGGAAUUGCAUCUGAAACUGCUGUGCUUGAGUUCUGGAGGGGGUAGUGGAAUUCCCAGUGUAGCGGUGAAAUGCGUAGAUAUUGGGAGGAACACCUGCGGCGAAGGCGGCUACCUGGACAGAAACUGACGCUGAGGCGCGAAAGCUAGGGGAGCGAACGGGAUUAGAUACCCCGGUAGUCCUAGCUGUAAACGAUGGGCACUUGGUGUUGGGGGUAUUGAGUCCCCCAGUGCCGGAGUUAACACGUUAAGUGCCCCGCCUGGGGAGUACGGUCGCAAGACUG
RNAcentral lists this ribosomal RNA (372 nucleotides) under uncultured organism. RNAcentral describes it as "bacterial SSU rRNA". It matches the Rfam family "Bacterial small subunit ribosomal RNA", at positions 526 to 896 of the family's 1533-position model. The record is from RNAcentral.